Molecule: ribosomal RNA, 460 nt
Filed under: uncultured bacterium
Lineage: Bacteria
Description: partial 16S ribosomal RNA
Rfam family: Bacterial small subunit ribosomal RNA
Source: RNAcentral
CCUACGGGGGGCAGCAGUGAGGAAUAUUGGUCAAUGGACGAGAGUCUGAACCAGCCAAGUAGCGUGAAGGAUGACUGCCCUAUGGGUUGUAAACUUCUUUUAUAUGGGAAUAAAAUGUUCCACGUGUGGGAUUUUGUAUGUACCAUAUGAAUAAGGAUCGGCUACCUCCGUGCCAGCAGCCGCGGUAAUACGGAGGAUCCGAGCGUUAUCCGGAUUUAUUGGGUUUAAAGGGAGCGUAGGUGGAUUGUUAAGUCAGUUGUGAAAGUUUGCGGCUCAACCGUAAAAUUGCAGUUGAAACUGGCAGUCUUGAGUACAGUAGAGGUGGGCGGAAUUCGUGGUGUAGCGGUGAAAUGCUUAGAUAUCACGAAGAACUCCGAUUGCGAAGGCAGUUCACUGGACUGCAACUGACACUGAGGCUCGAAAGUGUGGGUAUCAAACAGGAUUAGAUACCCUUGUAGUC